UUAAUUUUCAUCAACGACGGAUGUUCCGUCUUAACCUGGAAAUCUUUAAUUGAAAAGGAGCAGACUUCCGAAACAUCUAGGCUAAAUCCUCUUCGUCGUCGUUCUUUUCCUCUCGCCUUGCCGUCGGCUUAUUUUAUCUCGUCUCCCGUCGAAAUCCGGCAUCACAAAGGCAAGGAAAGAAUAAUGCUUGAGCUCUAUGGAUGCAGCGAUUAUGUUGUGGCCUCAACAAAACAGAAUCAGUAGGAGCAGCAAUAUGAAUACGGAAACUACCACCUCCAACUUUGUAUCUCAUAAUAGGUUUUGUUCCCUCAAGUUCUGCAAAUCUCAGGCUCUCGGCGGCCAAGACACGAGCAGAGCAAGGAAGUAAGUAACUCCACUUUGACGGGAGAUUUUGAGUAAGGUCUUCAGGAUAAGCGGAGGGGGAGUAUGGUGCGGUGCUGGUGGGGAAUGUUUCGGGUUGACGUUUUCUUUCUCUGUCAUAUGACUGUUUUGUCGAUAGAGUUUUGAUAUGAAGUUAUGUUAUAUUAAAUCAAACAUUUUACUCACGAUUAUGUGUCUUCAUACAUAUAGUCGGUUCACCUUUUGUUAUCACACUCUGAAUAUUUUGACUCUACAUAAAAAUUGAGCUAUACUUGUUUUGCUUUUCAU
Long non-coding RNA from Salvia miltiorrhiza (redroot sage), 648 nucleotides. RefSeq lists it as uncharacterized. Lineage: Eukaryota; Viridiplantae; Streptophyta; Magnoliopsida; Lamiales; Lamiaceae. The transcript has 5 exons. The record is from RefSeq and is a predicted model, not a curated record.